GACGAUGGAUUGGUGCCUUCGGGAACUCUGACACAGGUGCUGCAUGGCUGUCGUCAGCUCGUGUCGUGAGAUGUUGGGUUAAGUCCGUAACGAGCGCAACCUUGUCCUUAGUUACCAGCACGUUAUGGUGGGCACUCUAAGGAGACUGCCGGUGACAAACCGGAGGAAGGUGGGAUGACGUCAAGUCAUCAUGGCCCUUACGGCCUGGGCUACACACGUGCUACAAUGGUCGGUACAAAGGGUUGCCAAGCCGCGAGGUGGAGCUAAUCCCAUAAAACCGAUCGUAGUCCGGAUCGCAGUCUGCAACUCGACUGCGUGAAGUCGGAAUCGCUAGUAAUCGUGAAUCAGAAUGUCACGGCGAAUACGUUCCCGGGCCUU
Molecule: ribosomal RNA, 378 nt
Filed under: uncultured Pseudomonas sp.
Lineage: Bacteria; Pseudomonadati; Pseudomonadota; Gammaproteobacteria; Pseudomonadales; Pseudomonadaceae
Description: bacterial SSU rRNA
Rfam family: Bacterial small subunit ribosomal RNA
Source: RNAcentral